UGAGUAACCUGCCCUUAACUCUGGGAUAAGCCUGGGAAACUGGGUCUAAUACCGGAUAUGACUCCUCAUCGCAUGGUGGGGGGUGGAAAGCUUUAUUGUAGUUUUGGAUGGACUCGCGGCCUAUCAGCUUGUUGGUGGGGUAAUGGCUCACCAAGGCGACGACGGGUAGCCGGCCUGAGAGGGUGACCGGCCACACUGGGACUGAGACACGGCCCAGACUCCUACGGGAGGCAG
Molecule: ribosomal RNA, 234 nt
Filed under: uncultured bacterium
Lineage: Bacteria
Description: partial 16S ribosomal RNA
Rfam family: Bacterial small subunit ribosomal RNA
Source: RNAcentral